GCGGCGGACGGGUGAGUAAAGCCUAGGAAAUUGCCCUGAUGUGGGGGAUAACCAUUGGAAACGAUGGCUAAUACCGCAUGAUGCCUAUGGGCCAAAGAGGGGGACCUUCGGGCCUCUCGCGUCAGGAUAUGCCUAGGUGGGAUUAGCUAGUUGGUGAGGUAAGGGCUCACCAAGGCGACGAUCCCUAGCUGGUCUGAGAGGAUGAUCAGCCACACUGGAACUGAGACACGGUCCAGACUCCUACGGGAGGCAGCAGUGGGGAAUAUUGCACAAUGGGCGCAAGCCUGAUGCAGCCAUGCCGCGUGUAUGAAGAAGGCCUUCGGGUUGUAAAGUACUUUCAGUCGUGAGGAAGGCGGCGUCGUUAAUAGCGGCGUUGUUUGACGUUAGCGACAGAAGAAGCACCGGCUAACUCCGUGCCAGCAGCCGCGGUAAUACGGAGGGUGCGAGCGUUAAUCGGAAUUACUGGGCGUAAAGCGCAUGCAGGUGGUUUGUUAAGUCAGAUGUGAAAGCCCGGGGCUCAACCUCGGAAUAGCAUUUGAAACUGGCAGACUAGAGUACUGUAGAGGGGGGUAGAAUUUCAGGUGUAGCGGUGAAAUGCGUAGAGAUCUGAA
RNAcentral lists this ribosomal RNA (611 nucleotides) under uncultured Vibrio sp. Its description in RNAcentral is "bacterial SSU rRNA". It matches the Rfam family "Bacterial small subunit ribosomal RNA", at positions 95 to 702 of the family's 1533-position model. Lineage: Bacteria; Pseudomonadati; Pseudomonadota; Gammaproteobacteria; Vibrionales; Vibrionaceae. The record is from RNAcentral.